UACGUAGGGCGCAAGCGUUAUCCGGAAUUAUUGGGCGUAAAGAGCUCGUAGGCGGUGUGUCGCGUCGGCCGUGAAAACCUGCAGCUUAACUGUGGGCGUGCGGUCGAUACGGGCAUCACUGGAGUUCGGCAGGGGAGACUGGAAUUCCUGGUGUAGCGGUGAAAUGCGCAGAUAUCAGGAGGAACACCCGGUGGCGGAAGGCGGGUCUCUGGGCCGAUACUGACGCUGAGGAGCGAAAGCGUGGGGAGCAAACAGG
RNAcentral lists this ribosomal RNA (256 nucleotides) under uncultured bacterium. RNAcentral describes it as "partial 16S ribosomal RNA". It matches the Rfam family "Bacterial small subunit ribosomal RNA", at positions 524 to 776 of the family's 1533-position model. The record is from RNAcentral.